RNAcentral lists this ribosomal RNA (568 nucleotides) under Auricularia auricula-judae (jelly ear fungus). RNAcentral describes it as "eukaryotic LSU rRNA". The stretch from base 163 to 307 matches the Rfam family "5.8S ribosomal RNA". The record is from RNAcentral. Lineage: Eukaryota; Fungi; Basidiomycota; Agaricomycetes; Auriculariales; Auriculariaceae.
GAAGGAACAUUAAAGAUUCUAAGGCUUCGGUCUUAAUUUCGGCUGUGCCUAGCUGAAGCCUUAACUCUCCCACCUGUGCACCUUUUCGGUUGCGGUUUCGGCCGCUUCGCUUUUUCAUGCAACCCCGAAAAGCUAGAAUGGUGAAGAAAAACUAUAAAGAAACACUUUUCACAACGGAUCUCUGGGUCCCCCUUCAUGAAGAAAGCACCAAAAGGGAUAAGUAAUGGGAAUUGCAGAAUUCGGGGAAUCUCAAAUCUUUGAACGCCUUGGGUCCUGUGAUUUCAGGGAGAAGCCGGUUUGAGGGGCCGAAACCCCCCCACUCCCCUUGUGAUUAAACACGUCUCGCGGUAGUUGUCGGUGGACCUGCGACCGCCCGGCAUAAUCGGCUCGUCUUAAAAGCACAUUAGCUGGGCUUUUUUACACAUAAUGAGUUUUGGGGCGAACGGUGUAGAUAAUUAUGUGCGCCGACUCCCCCUGGCCCUUCUUCAGCCCCGAGCCGACGCUGCUUACCAGCCGUCCCUCUGUGGACAACUAUUUUAAAGCCUUGGCCUCAAAAUCAGGUAGGGGG